Non-coding RNA from Podarcis lilfordi (Lilford's wall lizard), 3114 nucleotides. Lineage: Eukaryota; Metazoa; Chordata; Lepidosauria; Squamata; Lacertidae. The record is from the annotation of a GenBank genome assembly.
GACUCGCGGCUCGUCUGCAGGGGAGGCGGAGCCCCAGCGGCCCAGCCAGCCCAGGGCCCAGGCUGCUGCCCAGCGAGGCCUGCUCUGCGGCCGCCCCGGCGCCUCGGCUCUCCGCGCUGCUGCCGCCGCCGCCGCGGCCGCGCUCGAAACAGGUGCCCGGCGGGUCGAGGCUGCGGAAGAGCGAGCCCAGGAGCCCCGCGCCGCCGCCGCCGCCGCCUUGGUUGCGCCCGCUGUCCGCCGGCGGCUGCAGGGAUCGCGCCCGGCGAUGCUCCGUCUCGCAGCGGACCUUCGGCUGCCGGGAGGAGGGAGGCGGACCUGGGGCUGGGGCAUCGCCUGACGGCCCGGACAGGAACGUGGCGAGAAUCAGCCGCGCCUUUACUUGGGAGUAAGUGGCAUUGAACUCCGCCGCCGGCCUUACUUCCAAGUAAAAGAUGCCCAGGCUCGCUCGGUAAGGAGGGCAGCGCUUAGGCGGGAGACUGUAUUCUUCCAUGGCAAGACGGAAGAAUAGCGGCGGCGGCGGCGGCGGUUUGUUGCAAAACCUACGGAUUUGUGUGAUUAUAAUUAUUAUUAGGGCCACCAAGGUGCAUCAUAUUGGCGGAAAUAUUUAAAGCGUUUGCAACUGUUAAUACCCAUACCUGCAGUUUUUCACGUGUUGGUUAGGAGGAUGAGAGGAGCUGGACAUGCCAUGAUGCCAAUUUUGAGAAGCAAAACUCUUAAAAGUUUGCGACAAUGUAUCAAAUGACAGAUUAAGCAGGUGACAAGUAGCGGUUUCGGUGCUGGAGAAAAAUCACUGUCUUUGACUUCUUAGCGAAACGUUCAUUAAUUUGUAUUCUACUCUAAAUGUAAUCUCCAGUGUUUUACAGCAACUUUAUUGUACUGAGUCAGACCACUGGUCCAUCUAACUGCGAAUUGUCUGUGCUGAUUGACAGCAGCUCACCAGCGCUUCAGGCAGGAAGUAUCUCCCUGACUUACCUGGAGGUGCUGCACCGCUUCCCAAUUUCUCAAUUUUAGUUCCUUAUGUAAGAAAUUUUCCAGCUAUGGGAAACGUGGACUUUCUACAACUUUUCUGAAUUAAACAUAUUUGAUUCUUCCAGGUAAAAAAAAAAAAAGGCAAGAGCCUACUUAAGAGAUUUUCAGGGUGAGGUCUGUGGACCACUGAUGGUUGACAGCUCCAUUUUGCUGGUCCUCAGAAAGGUUACAGAACAGUCCGGAAUAUCUGUACUUAGCCUUGACAGUUAAUUCAUUUCUUCCCCUCUGAUAGCUGGGAUCAGAGGGCUAGGGUUGUGUAAUCGUGGUUAUGACCGUGGUUGCAUUACAUAGUUGCAUAUACUCAUUAAAAUGUGUUUUGUAGAACAACAAAUUUAAAAAAUAUAUUAAGCCCAAGACCCCCCAGCAAUUUUCUAGUGGUUUGCAAAGGGAUAAAAGCUGUUGCCUUAAAUGUUGGGAAAGGGGAGAGUUUCAUAGGUACUGGGGAUGGAAAAUUCUUUACUUCAACGCGUCAGUAUGAUUUCACCUGCUAUUUAAUAUUUUCAUUUAUUUUGUGAAAAGUUGUGCUAGCUGACAAUUGUUUAAAGAUACUAUAGGCUGAAGCUGUAAACAUUCAAACUUGACCAUUACUGAACUAAAACACAAGUUAUCAAAAUAAAGUACAGUACUGAAGUGCACUAGGGUUUUUUCCCUAGCAGAUCUGCAAUUGUUUUCUGUAGUGCAUUUAUUAAUACAUCUAUAAGAUUAUAUUAAUAGCAAAUGAACUUUUUCAGGCUGAGUGUGAUAAAAGCAAUAGUGAUGGGCAAAAAUACACUUCUGGUAGCACUGUGAUUCUAAGCGUGCAUAUUCAUAUCAGUUCCAAUUAAUACACUGAAACUUCAGCAAAUUUGCUUAGUGUCACACUACAUGGAUCAAAUUUAAACAUAGUUGCAGAAAACCAACCUUUAUUUCCUCUGCUUGAUAUAAAAUAUUUUUGUAGUCUCUUUGUUGCAAGAAUAGUGGCCCAUAAUUAGUAAAUAGUAAGAUAAGAUAUAAUUACAGUACCUGAAGCUAUUGUUAUAAUAAUGAUUAGAAAACUUUUUUCAUUCCUCUGGUUUAUUUGUGGGUCUUUGUGUUUUAAACUUAAGUUUUUUGUGGGUUAAUUUGUUUCUUUAAAAAUCUACAAGAUCUGUAAGGAUGUUAGACAUCUUACAGAAGCUGGUGACUUUAGUGAAACUGAGGGAUUCAAAAUUCAGUAGUCCCAACUCAGGGAACUCAAAUCUUUUUACAUACUUGAGAAAUUGUAGCCUAAGGGACUAAAAUCUUUUUACAUACUUGAGAAAUUGUAGCCUAAGGGGUUCAAACUCUUACUAAAUAACUAUUUCACAUGUUGUGAAAGAUCAGUUUUAAAUCGUUUUUACAGAUAAUAUAAAUACACUUUUUUCUUUAAAAUUUCAUAUUUUUAGUGUAGUAUAUAAAUGAUAAUAGAUGUUCCCCAAACUAAAACUUUACUAUAAUCAACCUUUCAAAGCCAAUAAUUUUUAAAUUAUUUGUACCCUUUUAUUUCCUGUUUUUCUCAAGUAUUUUGUUUCAACAAAGCUGACAAUGUACAUGUACACAAUAUUUUCAACAAUUGUUAACUUUUUAUUAGUAGUGAUGAAAAGGUUUUGAUUGGCUGUUUCUUCUGUUUUAAAUUUAUCACUUCCUAAGCCUUUGGAUGUCAGUGUGUUUUGAGCCCCUUUAUUCUCCUUGUAUUUCUUCAUCAUUUGCACACUGAUUGGUUGAUCUGGGGGAAAGUUCCUUUAAGAAAUCUAAUUUUUAUUGAAGCUUCCAAAGUAACUGUGAGCUCUUUAAAAAAAUGAAUAUGUUGCUUAACAUUUGUUGUUUUAUUCCAUGCAGAGUUUUAUGCUGGUCGUUUCCCCUGUUUACUUAAAAGUGAGCAAAUCUUUACUUUGUUUUCUUGUUGAGUCAUAUGCAGUCAUAGUCUUGUGGAAGUUUUAAAGAAUUUUAUUUUUCUUCAUUAUUUUUGAAAUCACACUAAAUGCCAACUUGCAUGCCAUAAUUAUGAUGCUUUUAAAUGAGGCAAAUAAAUAGUUUUUUUAAAAAAAUGUAUAUACCUUAUUUGAUAAAUAAAUACAUCUGAAUCCC